This 468-nucleotide ribosomal RNA is filed under the name uncultured bacterium. RNAcentral's name for it is "partial 16S ribosomal RNA". It matches the Rfam family "Bacterial small subunit ribosomal RNA", at positions 28 to 507 of the family's 1533-position model. The record is from RNAcentral.
GACGAACGCUGGCGGCGUGCUUAACACAUGCAAGUCGAACGGAAAGGCCCUGCUUUUGUGGGGUGCUCGAGUGGCGCACGGGUGAGUAACACGUGAGUAACCUGCCCUUGACUUUGUGAUAACUUCAGGAAACUGGGGCUAAUACCGGAUAGGAGCUCCUGCUGCAUGGUGGUGGUUGGAAAGUUUCGGCGGUUGGGGCUGUACUCGCGGCUUAUCGGCUUGUUGGUGGGGUAGUGGCUUACCAAGGCUUUGACGGGUAGCCGGCCUGAGAGGGUGACCGGCCACAUUGGGACUGAGAUAGGGCCCAGAAUGCUACGGGAGGCAGAAGUGGGGAAUAUUGCACAAUGGGCGGAAGCCUGAGGCAGCAACGCCGGGUGCGGGAUGACGGCCUUCGGGUUGUAAACCGCUUUCGCCUGUGACGAAGAGUGAGUGACGGUAAUGGGUAAAGAAGCAACGGCUAACUACGUG